UGGGCGUAAGAGCUCGUAGGCGGUUUGUCGCGUCUGCUGUGAAAUCCCGAGGCUCAACCUCGGGCCUGCAGUGGGUACGGGCAGACUGGAGUGCGGUAGGGGAGAAUGGAACUCCUGGUGUAGCGGUGGAAUGCGCAGAUAUCAGGAAGAACACCGAUGGCGAAGGCAGUUCUCUGGGCCGUAACUGACGCUGAGGAGCGAAAGCGUGGGGAGCGAACAGGAUUAGAUACCCUGGUAGUCCACGCCGUAAACGUUGGGCGCUAGAUGUGGGGACCAUUCCACGGUUUCCGUGUCGCAGCUAACGCAUUAAGCGCCCCGCCUGGGGAGUACGGCCGCAAGGCUAAAACUCAAAGGAAUUGACGGGGGCCCGCACAAGCGGCGGAGCAUGCGGAUUAAUUCGAUGCAACGCGAAGAACCUUACCAAGGCUUGACAUACACCAGAACGCCCUAGAAAUAGGGAACUCUUUGGACACUGGUGGACAGGUGGUGCAUGGUUGUCGUCAGCUCGUGUCGUGAGAUGUUGGGUUAAGUCCCGCAACGAGCGCAACCCUCGUUCUAUGUUGCCAGCACGUGAUGGUGGGAACUCAUAGGAGACUGCCGGGGUCAACUCGGAGGAAGGUGGGGAU
RNAcentral lists this ribosomal RNA (626 nucleotides) under uncultured bacterium. RNAcentral describes it as "bacterial SSU rRNA". It matches the Rfam family "Bacterial small subunit ribosomal RNA", at positions 555 to 1180 of the family's 1533-position model. The record is from RNAcentral.